Molecule: long non-coding RNA, 206 nt
Organism: Telopea speciosissima
Lineage: Eukaryota; Viridiplantae; Streptophyta; Magnoliopsida; Proteales; Proteaceae
Exons: 3
Source: RefSeq, a predicted model, not a curated record
UUCCAAUCUCAGUUGUAGAGUAUAUGAAACAUAAGCUUGGUGAUGACACAAAGGUUGAGAUAUUGAAGACAAAAGGUCACCUUCCUUAGGUCACAGCUUAUCCUUUACUGUUGGAAGUAUUAAAGAGAGUGCUUUAAAUUAAUGAUUAACAUGAGAGGGUAUUUUAGAAAUCUCUCUACUCCCUACCUCUUGUUUUCUCUUAUUUG